RNAcentral lists this ribosomal RNA (429 nucleotides) under Actinomycetes bacterium. RNAcentral's name for it is "Actinobacteria bacterium partial 16S ribosomal RNA". It matches the Rfam family "Bacterial small subunit ribosomal RNA", at positions 355 to 776 of the family's 1533-position model. Lineage: Bacteria; Bacillati; Actinomycetota; Actinomycetes. The record is from RNAcentral.
UAGGGAAUCUUCCGCAAUGGGCGAAAGCCUGACGGAGCAACGCCGCGUUAGUGAUGAAGGUCUUCGGAUCGUAAAACUCUGUUAUUAGGGAAGAACAAAUGUGUACGUAACUAUGCACGUCUUGACGGUACCUAAUCAGAAAGCCACGUCUAAAUACGUGCCAGCAGCCUCGGUAAUACGUAGGUGGCAAGCGUUAUCCGGAAUUAUUGGGCGUAAAGCGCGCGUAGGCGGUUUUUUAAGUCUGAUGUGAAAGCCCACGGCUGAACCGUGGAGGGUCAUUGUAAACUGGAAAACUUGAGUGGAGAAGAGGAAAGUGGAAUUCCAUGUGUAGCGGUGAAAUGCGCAGAGAUAUGGAGGAACACCAGUGGCGAAGGCGACUUUCUGGUCUGUAACUGACGCUGAUGUGCGAAAGCGUGGGGAGCAAACAGG